RNAcentral lists this ribosomal RNA (1140 nucleotides) under Prochlorococcus sp. scB241_528K19. RNAcentral's name for it is "bacterial SSU rRNA". It matches the Rfam family "Bacterial small subunit ribosomal RNA", at positions 365 to 1520 of the family's 1533-position model. Lineage: Bacteria; Bacillati; Cyanobacteriota; Cyanophyceae; Synechococcales; Prochlorococcaceae. The record is from RNAcentral.
UCCGCAAUGGGCGAAAGCCUGACGGAGCAACGCCGCGUGAGGGACGAAGGCCUCUGGGCUGUAAACCUCUUUUCUCAAGGAAGAAGAUAUGACGGUACUUGAGGAAUAAGCCACGGCUAAUUCCGUGCCAGCAGCCGCGGUAAUACGGGAGUGGCAAGCGUUAUCCGGAAUUAUUGGGCGUAAAGCGUCCGCAGGCGGCUUUUCAAGUCUGCUGUUAAAGCGUGGAGCUUAACUCCAUCAUGGCAGUGGAAACUGAAAGGCUUGAGUAUGGUAGGGGCAGAGGGAAUUCCCGGUGUAGCGGUGAAAUGCGUAGAUAUCGGGAAGAACACCAGUGGCGAAGGCGCUCUGCUGGGCCAUUACUGACGCUCAUGGACGAAAGCCAGGGGAGCGAAAGGGAUUAGAUACCCCUGUAGUCCUGGCCGUAAACGAUGAACACUAGGUGUCGGGGGAAUCGACCCCUUCGGUGUCGUAGCUAACGCGUUAAGUGUUCCGCCUGGGGAGUACGCACGCAAGUGUGAAACUCAAAGGAAUUGACGGGGGCCCGCACAAGCGGUGGAGUAUGUGGUUUAAUUCGAUGCAACGCGAAGAACCUUACCAGGGUUUGACAUCCUGCGAACCUCUUAGAAAUUUGAGGGUGCCUUCGGGAAUGCAGUGACAGGUGGUGCAUGGCUGUCGUCAGCUCGUGUCGUGAGAUGUUGGGUUAAGUCCCGCAACGAGCGCAACCCACGUUUUUAGUUGCCAGCAUUUAGUUGGGCACUCUAGAAAGACCGCCGGUGAUAAACCGGAGGAAGGUGUGGAUGACGUCAAGUCAUCAUGCCCCUUACACCCUGGGCUACACACGUACUACAAUGCUACGGACAAAGGGCAGCAAACUCGCGAGAGCUAGCAAAUCCCAUAAACCGUGGCUCAGUUCAGAUCGUAGGCUGCAACUCGCCUACGUGAAGUAGGAAUCGCUAGUAAUCGCAGGUCAGCAUACUGCGGUGAAUACGUUCCCGGGCCUUGUACACACCGCCCGUCACACCAUGGAAGUUGGCCAUGCCCGAAGUCGUUACUCCAACCCUUGUGGAGGAGGACGCCGAAGCUGGGGCUAAUGACUGGGGUGAAGUCGUAACAAGGUAGCCGUACCGGAAGGUGCGGCUG